GAUGAACGCUAGCUACAGGCUUAACACAUGCAAGUCGAGGGGCAGCAUGAAGUUUGCUUGCAAACUUUGAUGGCGACCGGCGGAUGGGUGAGUAACGCGUACCCAACCUGCCCCCUUCCCGGGCACAGCCCUUGGAAACGAGGAUUAACGCCCGAUGGCGUCUGGAUGCCGCAUGGCAUUCCGACCAAAUGCGAAGGAAGGGGAUGGGGGUGCGUCCCAUUAGCUAGUUGCGGGGUAACGGCCCACCAAGGCAUCGAUGGGUAGGGGUUCUGAGAGGAAGGUCCCCCACACUGGAACUGAGACACGGUCCAGACUCCUACGGGAGGCAGCAGUGAGGGAAUAUUGGUCAAUGGGUGAGAGCCUGAACCAGCCAAGUAGCGUGAAGG
Molecule: ribosomal RNA, 386 nt
Filed under: uncultured bacterium
Lineage: Bacteria
Description: bacterial SSU rRNA
Rfam family: Bacterial small subunit ribosomal RNA
Source: RNAcentral